AACGAACGCUGGCGGCAGGCUUAACACAUGCAAGUCGAGCGCCCCGCAAGGGGAGCGGCAGACGGGUGAGUAACACGUGGGAACGUACCCUUUACUACGGAAUAACGCAUGGAAACGUGUGCUAAUACCGUAUGUGCCCUUCGGGGGAAAGAUUUAUCGGUAAAGGAUCGGCCCGCGUUGGAUUAGCUAGUUGGUGGGGUAAAGGCCUACCAAGGCGACGAUCCAUAGCUGGUCUGAGAGGAUGAUCAGCCACAUUGGGACUGAGACACGGCCCAAACUCCUACGGGAGGCAGCAGUGGGGAAUAUUGGACAAUGGGCGCAAGCCUGAUCCAGCCAUGCCGCGUGAGUGAUGAAGGCCUUAGGGUUGUAAAGCUCU
RNAcentral lists this ribosomal RNA (376 nucleotides) under Rhizobium sp. RNAcentral's name for it is "bacterial SSU rRNA". It matches the Rfam family "Bacterial small subunit ribosomal RNA", at positions 29 to 434 of the family's 1533-position model. The record is from RNAcentral. Lineage: Bacteria; Pseudomonadati; Pseudomonadota; Alphaproteobacteria; Hyphomicrobiales; Rhizobiaceae.